Molecule: long non-coding RNA, 627 nt
Filed under: Anolis carolinensis (green anole)
Lineage: Eukaryota; Metazoa; Chordata; Lepidosauria; Squamata; Anolidae
Description: lncRNA (ENSACAG00000031293.2)
Source: RNAcentral
AUGGUGUUUUGGGCUAGUCAGAGAGCCUCAAGAUCAAGCUGUGGACUGCUGCUCUUGUGCAACCAGUUUACCACCAGCCAGUUUACCAUGCUGACAAAAACUGCUAACUGGAACCCCAGCACCACAUUUCCCCAAGUGAAUUAUGCCAGCCAUGGAGAGAGAAUGGAAAAAUGGUCAUCUCAUCAUGUAGUCUGCUCGCCUGUCAAGGAGAUGUGGAAAUGUGCUGGCAUUCCAGCUGAAGACAUCAUUAUGAGUGAGAAAAUGCUCAAGGUCCUUUUUCAAAGUGGGUGCCGAAAGAGAUGCUUUCCUUCUUUGACUUCGGGGAAGGCUGAGAGCUGCCCCAGAAGACAGGCAUUGAGAGGUCAGAGGCUAGCAAAGCUGACUGUGUGUGAGCACAUGUGUUUGAAUGUGUGCACACACAUACACAUGCAUUUGUCUUCAAGGUUUUUCUGGAUGAUGGCUAAAGUAAAUAAUCUUUUUUUUCCAAUAAAGGAUGCACAACAAAAGAAGAUGAUGAAGAUGAUGAAGAAAUCUAUAACAAAGGACAAUCAGCCUGCAGUGAGAGAAAUGAUUUUAAUAUCUGACAGGUUUUGUUUCCUAAUCUUUGCUAUUCAUAUUGACGGGUAG